Long non-coding RNA from Mesitornis unicolor (brown roatelo), 1026 nucleotides. RefSeq lists it as uncharacterized. The transcript has 3 exons. The record is from RefSeq and is a predicted model, not a curated record. NCBI's taxonomy places the organism in Eukaryota, Metazoa, Chordata, Aves, Mesitornithiformes, Mesitornithidae.
AGGAUAUGGAAAACAAAAUCAGAAGUACACUGAAUGAGAUUUAUUUUGGAAAAACAAAGGACAUCGUUAAUGGGCUGAGAUCUAUUGAUGCUAUCCCCGACAACCAAAAGUAUAAGCAGUUGCAGAGGGAGCUUUCUCAAGUGUUGACCCAGCGCCAGAUCUACAUCCAGCCUGAUAACUAAACCAACCCAGGUCUGUGCAGACUUUUGCAGACAAAUCAAAACAAGAAGCUCUUAAAAACGACCUGGUGGAGGCUUUGAAGAGAAAGCAGCAAAGUUAAAAUACUCUUCAUGCUAACAAGACAUGCCAUGCACUCGUUAGAUUCCUUUCUUAGAAAACUCAUCCCCCCCUGCCCUUUUCUGUUGUCACGUCACGAUUUGCAUUCAGUACUAUCCAUGCAACGCCAUCUUCUCCCCAUGAAUAAAGCUGUACAAACUUUUUCAGUCUCUGAGGCCUACUUUGCACCACAUUUUACUAUCGAGACCUUAGGCUACGUUUCUGUAGAAGUCCAUGUAUUUUUUUUUUCCUUCCCCCCUCUCUUCCACCUUGCCCCAUUUAUAUGCAUAAACACGGAUCAUUCUUUGUCUUUUCCUCCCCACCCCCUCCUGCCUUUUGUUACAUUGGUGUAAAAAAUGUAAAACAAAAAUUUAUUAAAUACUGUGGUGUGUGAAAGAGGAAGAACUGGAAAAAAAAAAAAUCUAUUCCACGUAUGUUUGGGGGCUGGGCACAGGGGAUGGCCGGGGGGAGGGAGGGAAGAGAGGGUGUUCCUCGGUGUUGUACUAUACUGACUAAACCAGACUUGCAAGGAGACGUCGAUUAGGAGACCUGCUGAAAGUUCUGCUCUCUAUAGCCUGGUUCCAAGGCGCUUUUCUGUCAAUUUUUAUGGAACGCAAAAGGGGUUUUUGUUUUGAUUUUGUUUUUUUGUAAAGCUUAAAUUGAAUCUACAUCUGAUACUUGAGCCUCCAUACUAAAAAAAAAAAAAAAAGACUAAAAGAAAAAAAUAAAAAUAAAAAUAAAAAAUCCCAG